GCACCAGUGGGGAAUAUUGGGCAAUGGAGGAAACUCUGACCCAGCGACGCCGCGUGCGGGAUGAAGGCCUUCGGGUUGUAAACCGCUUUCAGCAGGGAAGAAGCGAAAGUGACGGUACCUGCAGAAGAAGCACCGGCUAACUAUGUGCCAGCAGCCGCGGUAAUACAUAGGGUGCAAGCGUUGUCCGGAAUUAUUGGGCGUAAAGAGCUCGUAGGUGGUUCGUCACGUCGGAUGUGAAACUCUGGGGCUUAACCCCAGACCUGCAUUCGAUACGGGCGAGCUUGAGUAUGGUAGGGGAGUCUGGAAUUCCUGGUGUAGCGGUGGAAUGCGCAGAUAUCAGGAGGAACACCAAUGGCGAAGGCAGGACUCUGGGCCAUUACUGACACUGAGGAGCGAAAGCGUGGGGAGCGAA
RNAcentral lists this ribosomal RNA (412 nucleotides) under actinobacterium SCGC AAA487-N03. RNAcentral's name for it is "bacterial SSU rRNA". It matches the Rfam family "Bacterial small subunit ribosomal RNA", at positions 348 to 772 of the family's 1533-position model. The record is from RNAcentral. Lineage: Bacteria; Bacillati; Actinomycetota; Actinomycetes.